AGGACGAACGCUGGCGGCGUGCUUAACACAUGCAAGUCGAGCGGAAAGGCCCUUCGGGGUACUCGAGCGGCGAACGGGUGAGUAACACGUGAGUAAUCUGCCCCUAGCUCUGGGAUAGCUCCGGGAAACCGGGAUUAAUACCAGAUACGACCACUUUAGACAUCUGUUGUGGUGGAAAGAAUUUCGGCUAGGGAUGAGCUCGCGGCCUAUCAGCUUGUUGGUGAGGUAACGGCUCACCAAGGCGACGACGGGUA
RNAcentral lists this ribosomal RNA (254 nucleotides) under uncultured bacterium. RNAcentral describes it as "partial small subunit ribosomal RNA". It matches the Rfam family "Bacterial small subunit ribosomal RNA", at positions 26 to 285 of the family's 1533-position model. The record is from RNAcentral.